AAUACCCAUAAUAUAUUGAUAGCAUCUUAUUAAUAUUAAAGCUUCGGCACUUGAUGAUGGGUGUGCGGCUGAUUAGAUAGUUGGCGGGUAACGGCCCACCAAGUCUACGAUCAGUAGCUGAUGUGAGAGCAUGAUCAGCCACACGGGCACUGAGACACGGGCCCGACUCCUACGGGAGGCAGCAGUAAGGAUAUUGGACAAUGGACGAAAGUCUGAUCCAGCCAUGCCGCGUGAAGGAUUAAGGUCCUCUGGAUUGUAAACUUCUUUUAUAUGGGACGAAAAAAGGGCAUUCUUGUUCACUUGACGGUACCAUAUGAAUAAGCACCGGCUAACUCCGUG
This 339-nucleotide ribosomal RNA is filed under the name uncultured bacterium. RNAcentral describes it as "bacterial SSU rRNA". It matches the Rfam family "Bacterial small subunit ribosomal RNA", at positions 165 to 507 of the family's 1533-position model. The record is from RNAcentral.